ACUGCCUUUUGGUUUCCAUGCCUCCUCCUACCAGUCUCCUUAAGACACUGCCUGCAACAGCUGAUUAAUCAUUGUUGAUGACUGCAGUUUUUCCCAUCCUUCCCGAUUUACAUCUGUUCAGGCCAAUUCAAAUAUGGUAAUGGACCUCCCGGUGAAUGGCUUGAGGAUGGUUUUCGCUUGCGUGACUUGAAUACAGUUACUAUGGGGGACUUGCCUGCUCGAUUGGACUGGUCUAUCAUGGGCUGAACUAUUCUUCUUCUAGCAUUAAUAAACCUGCAACAAAAAGUAGA
Molecule: long non-coding RNA, 290 nt
Organism: Ornithorhynchus anatinus (platypus)
Lineage: Eukaryota; Metazoa; Chordata; Mammalia; Monotremata; Ornithorhynchidae
Exons: 2
Source: RefSeq, a predicted model, not a curated record